UAAGCAUACCUGUCUGACCGAUAGCGUACCAGUACCGUGAGGGAAAGGUGAAAAGCACCCCGGGAGGGGAGUGAAAGAGUUCCUGAAACCGUGCGCCUACAAUCCGUCGGAGCCUCCUUGUGGGGUGACGGCGUGCCUAUCGAAAAAUGAGUCUGCGAGUCAGUGGCACGUGGCGAGCGUAACCCGUGUGGGGUACGCGUAGCGAAGGCGAGUCUCAAAAGGCGUUUUGAGUCGCGCGCCCUGGACCCGAAGCGGGAUGAUCU
Molecule: ribosomal RNA, 263 nt
Filed under: Pseudomonas aeruginosa
Lineage: Bacteria; Pseudomonadati; Pseudomonadota; Gammaproteobacteria; Pseudomonadales; Pseudomonadaceae
Description: partial 23S ribosomal RNA
Rfam family: Bacterial large subunit ribosomal RNA
Source: RNAcentral